CUUUAACAUAACAACCCUUCUUUUAUAGAAUAACCACUUUGAAGUGUUUGAUGGUUCUGUAAUAAAAGAGAAAGAUUAGAAUUCCUAUUCAGUUCUGCUUUUAAAUCUGGCACUUCUGAACCUUGAUCAACAAUCUUGGCUAUCAGUAAUUAGUUCUUUGCAUGUGAAGUGCUCCUCCCAUGCUUGUUGUAUCUCAGGGUCUUUUACAUGUAAAUGCCAUUGAUCUCCAUCUAAGACAGCCUCCUUUGCUAACAAAUUCAAUUGUACAUUUGAAUGAGUGUUUACUGCUGACUGGAGGGGGUGCUUUAGUCCCCAUCCAACCAGUUUCCCAAGAUUCCAUUUGGACAGAUGGUUUGAUCUGGUGGCAUAAGCAAUGUCACUAUUGAUACAAAUAGGGCGUGUGCCAAAUUCCUUUGAAAAAUGUACAAGUCCCAAAAAAUUUCUUCAAGGAUUGUUUGUUAAAAGGUCUGGGGACUUGUAAGAUUGCUAUCACUCUUUAAUUGGGCAGCUGUGAUAGCUACUCCCAAAAAUGUUACCUUUUGUGUGAGCAACCUUUGAAGUGUUUAGCUUGACUCCAGCAUUAUGCAAUUAAGUAAAAAAAAAAAUUCCAUUAAUAAAUUCAUAUGUUAUUGUUU
Non-coding RNA from Pelobates cultripes (western spadefoot toad), 635 nucleotides. The record is from the annotation of a GenBank genome assembly. NCBI's taxonomy places the organism in Eukaryota, Metazoa, Chordata, Amphibia, Anura, Pelobatidae.